GCAUAACUGCAUAUAUAAUGGCGUUUGAGAAGUAGUGUGCAUCUUAAUUCGUCACAACAUUUGCAUGCCAUAUCUUUUGUCGUUUCUUAUUGUUGCUCUGAUUCUGAUUCUGAUUACUUAUCCAACUUCAUCAAAUAAUUAACGCAUCUUUUCCGUUCCAAUGUCUCCCCCAUCCGUCGAUCAAGGUAACGCCGAUCCAGAGGAAGAAGAAGAAGAAGAAGAAGAAGAGGAGGAGGAGGAGGAGGAGGAGGAGGAGGAAGAGGAAGAAGAAGAAGAAGAAGAAGAAACCGACGGUGAUGAUAAAGGCUACGCCUCAAAUUCUGUAUCCGAUGCCGACAACGAUGGCAUAGAUUCAUGCCAACAAAUGGAAUCUGAAGUACAAGAGAGGAACUUGAGGCCAGCUUCUACUAUGGCGGAAAACCCUAUAGUAAUGUCUUCUCCUAGUAUGCCAUCCAAUGAAGAUGAUCAUGCCAUUCUCAAAGCAUCUAGUCCUUCAUCUGAGGAACUAAGUUUUAAAAAGGAAGAGGUUCACACAACACGCGAAAUUUCAAGUCAUCCCAAAUCAGUAAAUGAUUUUGCUUCCGCUGAAGGUGGCAAAAGUCAAGUUUUAGACUCCAGCCAACAGAUGAAAUCUGAGGGGCAAGGGGGGGACUUGAGGCCAGCUUCCACCAUGGCGGAAAACCCUGUAGUAAAGCCUUCUCCUAGUCUGUGUUCCAAAGAAGAGAAUUGUGUCAUUCUCAAAGCAUGUGUUGUUUCUGCUCCUUCAUCUGACACGCUAGCUUUGAAAAAGGAACAAGUUUUCCCAACUCCAAAAAUUUCAAAUUCUAGUCAUCCCAAAUCAGUUAAAAACUUGGCCCCUGCAGAUGAUGGCAAAAGUCAAGUUUUAGAUGUUGAUGGUGCAAAUACUGGAAUUGUUCAACUAACAUACACUGUUGGAGGGUGCAAUGAACCAAGUAACGAUAGCAAAGCUGAUUUAGGUGGUGUUAAGGAUAUGGAUUCUGGGGCCACCAAGUUGUCUAGUAACAUUGGAAAAGACAUCGCUAUUGGCCUUCCUCAAACGGAUGCCUUUGUUGGGAGUGCCAAUGGCAGUCAGAAUUCCUUGAAAAGAAUUGUACCAUUGGAAGUAGAAUCAAAGGAUGAUGUAAAACAAAUCAAAUCAAGGACUAUAGUUCCGUCUUCGAAUACUGAGAUGAAGGAUGGAAACAAACGCCAGGGAAUUAUAUGUGCCUUUUUUGCUCAAGGGUGGUGCAUCAGAGGUGAUUCCUGUAGCUUUCUUCAUAUAAAAGAUUCUGCAAAGGAUACUGGCCAGGAGACUCAGGGGGACUUGGAUAAAGCAAAGCAGAAGAGAGAACUGGAAUUAGAAGAAGGUACCAGGGACAAUAUCAAAAGAACCAGGACGAAUGAGCAAGAAGAAAGCUCAGACUGGCAUCCUUGUCAAGAAAAAAAUAAGUACCAGUUGAGGGACAACUUGUUUCCAGAGAGUAGAUUUACAAGCAAAUAUUUCAACACAAGUCUCUCAUCCUAUUCAAAUCAUGCAGAGGGAUUGAGUAUAGCUCAAAACCAUCAUAUGUACAAUGAAUAUACUUCUGCAGUUUUGAGUCGUUCACCUAAGUUGAGCUUUGUUACUCAGAAACUUUUGAAUAGUGACAAAGAAUAUAAUGCCUCUAGAUCUGCUUUCUCUGGCUCAGAGCGGGAGGAGUUGCCAGUGGUUGGUUCAUCUAGGAUUCCAAUACACUCUGCUGCAUAUAUAUCAAAAAUAUGUUCUUAUGAUUGGGAACCUUCUGUACCGUUUCGACCAUCAUUUUUCAUUACGUCAAUGAAUGUAUCAUCUCUGGGAGACCUGUAUGACCCUCUUCGAGAUAGCAUUGAGAUACCAAAUAUAGGAGAUGGGUCUUUGAAAGCUUCCCUCUUAAUUCAUGGAUCAUCCAUCCAGGCUUCAUCACAGGUGCUGAAAUAUGGCGAUUCAGCUGUAGUUGGGAAACAUAUUUCUGAUUUUAAUGAUGAGAAAAGUUCCGUAUCUUCUCAUAAUAGAUUUGGUGAGAAUCAACCAAACAAAAAUUUGGUUCCUCAUGAAAAAGAUUGUCAUGCAACUGAAAUGGAAAUAACAUCAGGGACUUGUAUGAACUACCCCAAUGGUAAAAUCGGCAUGGGGAAAGAUGUUACAAAAUCAGACAGAGAAUGGACUGAACAUGAUGCCAAACAUCAUGGUGAAGGAUCAGCGCACAAGAAGAGAGUAGAUAGGGAUAAGAAAAUUAAUGAUACAGAUGCCGAUUUGCAGACUGACUGCAGUGUGCAGAAGGAUUCCAAAGCAAUGAGACACUUUCGUGCAGCUCUUGUUGACUUGGUGAAAGAAUUGUUAAAACCAUCUUGGCACGAGGGCCGUCUUAGUAAGGAUGCACAUAUCUUGAUAGUUAAAAGAUCAGUUGACAAGAUACUCAGCACCUUAGAGCCUCAGCAAAUUCCAACCUCUAUAGAUGCUACUAAGCAAUAUGUUUCUCUGUAUCGAGGAAAAAUUGCAAAGAUGGUCAAUGGAUAUAUCAACAAAUUUGGCAAGUCUUGAUAUGCUAGGCCCAAACACCUUUGUUGUACAGUUUCUUAUCAGUUUGGCUGAUACUAAAUUCAAAACUUCUGCUUGAGGCUCUCUGUUUCAUAGUAAAGGGUUCAUGCUGUUAGGAUUUCAUGCAUCUGGACAUUUAUGGAAAGUACCUUAGAAUAUGCAGCAUGCUAAGCAGGUUUUCUUAAUGGCUCAACUGGGGUUUUUGCUAUAUUUAUUGUUGAUGGUUGAUUCACUAUGUAAAACAUGUAAAAAGCCACAAUUUGAAAUCUCUAUUUAUCACAAAUUCACAAUAAAAGAUGAUGUCAAAUCUUGGUAUUGUGUUUAUCAUAGUUUCAGAUGCAGUCUUCAGUUUCCUAACUUUAUGGAUAAUUGUGUUGCUCUUCGAUGAUGGACUGUGUAAAUGAAAGGAGAAAUUCAGAAUUUUACGAAGGUACUGUUUCUCAUUUCACUUAAUGACGGACAGUAUGUUGUUCCAUCCAGCCUAUACUCAUGUAAGUGUAAUUUUCUUUGAAUAUUUAUUUCAGUAUUUUUGUAUAGUUCUCUCGUGGUCAUUAUUAAAUCUUCGGCAAAAAAAUACUAAAUUAUUAGCUGAUUAAGCAAAUAGAAUAUUAAUAACUUUGUGCAUCAUGUUUCUCAUCUUGCCAAAAGAAAAAAAUGUUAUUAGCUUUGAAUAGCUAAAUAAAAUUAAAAAAGGGUAGAAACUAGAAAAUAUCAGUAGUUUAAUGUUAAUUAUUGUGAUGACAUUACUGCAGUAAAACAAAUAGUGUCACAUUUAUUCUUCUGAGAAACUACAUAGCUAUGUAAGGCCAAAUACUUGAUGCCAUUCUGUUCUUUGAAGAAAGAAUUCCACAGGGAAUAAACCUUGUAUGAUCAAAUUUCUGGAAUGGUUUGUGCUUUAGCAACAGUUGGCUUAAUGGCUUGCGAGUCUCGGCAUGGUGAAAGAAAGCACUUCAUUUUUUGGCCAAAUCUUCUCCUUGCGGUGCUUUCGUUGGUUUUAUGUCUGCUUGCUUUGCUAUGUUGUUCCUGAUGUUUCAUCACGCUGCCUGUUUUCCCACUUGACUUCUUACUACUGCUAUGAGUUGCUAGUAAUGAGCCUAAAGAACUAGAUUGAUUUCUGAUCAAAGACUGACUUGAAAAUGCUUGUGGUUGAAGUUGACCAUUGGAAAUAAGAAGAUCAGCAGGUAUGAUCUUGAUUGUGUCGACUGUGGAAUUUAAGUCUGGUUUAGUGCUGCUAAAUUCAAAUUCUGGGUUUUGCUUGCUUUCCUGGUAGUAUUUGGCAUGGUUAGGAGAAGGGAGCAUUGAUUGCCCUUGGAUAGAAACAAGGCCGCUAAAAGAGAGUGAAUCCGGUGAAACAUUAUCAGCUGCAACGUGGGAGGUAAGCAUGUUUCCUUGCCACGCAGACAUUGGUUUAUGUCUAAUUGGUUGAGUUGAAAACUUAUAUAUGCAGAUACUGUACUUGCUGGAAGUUGAAACCACCUUUUAAGUCCAUUGGAUUGUGUUUUGCCGACUUCAAGUUUGUUUGUUCUCAGUUUCAUCUUUUCUCUUACUUUAGUCCCCCUUUGUGAAGCAGAAUUUAACCGUGUAAGCCUAUAGCAUAUUUAAUUGAGGAGUGAUGUGUACACAUUGGAAAGUUCAUUACCAUAUCAUGAUAGGAUGUAGUGUAAGGGUGAAGCCACACUCUCUCCUUUGAUGAACUGAUAAGGUCCCAAAUGAGUACGUCCAACAUGAGUCAAAAUCAAUUCUUUAUUA
Arachis ipaensis is the source of this 4306-nucleotide non-coding RNA. NCBI's taxonomy places the organism in Eukaryota, Viridiplantae, Streptophyta, Magnoliopsida, Fabales, Fabaceae. The record is from RefSeq and is a predicted model, not a curated record.